ACUAAUCACAGAGGCUACAUCAGAUGCAUGACUCAGUGAUAGACUUGAUUGAAGAACUGGAUCACUUCACUGACGGGGUGUCUCUUCAGCCUGCUGGCCUCCAAGAACUAUAUGUUUUUCCUGCUUUCUGCUGCCAAUGGCACACAGAGCCAAGUAUUGGUUGAGCAAGGGGUAAACAAGUUAAUGAGAAUAUUAGGCCAUGUGUAAUGUGGAAAAUUGUUUCGGAACUUAAUGACCUCCAUUGUUUAAAAAGACAUACCUUUUCAGGAAAACAAAAUAAAGCAGUCAAGUUGGUUUUAUGAGAUCUACUUUUACAUCACUGGAUUGAGGAUUUCUGAAAAACAGACAGAAAAUGUCUUGGUCUGUUCACUAGAAUCUUCGGCUGUAUAUAUUUUCCAAAAGGAGAAAGUGUGGAAUAGUUUUCUAUGAACAUUCUUAGAAUAAAUAAUGUGAAUGUUUACUCAGGUAUCUCCAUCAACACACUAGGAAGGUUUUUCCAAACAAUUGUUGUGAACUAGCUGCAGUGCUUUCUGGAUGGAGAGAGGGAUUGCUUUUCUCUGUUAAUGUACUCUGAGGACAAACCUAGGAAAUGUGCAGAAUGUGCUCAGAUGCUGUGAUGGGCUUUUAUCCUCAUGCAGGUAGAAAGCUCAUGGCCUGGAUCCCCAAGGGACUGACGUGUCUGCUGUUGUCCUGAAUGACUGCUGGUUUUGACUUUGGAAAAUUUUUAAUUAAUUCUGUAUAACAGCUGAACAGUGGCAAGUGAGUUGUAAACUUCCCACCAUGAGUUUCCAAGAAAAAAGAUAGAAAAUCAAGACUAAAGCAAGGGGCACACAGCUUUUGAAGCAGAGCAGCACCAGGGAAGGGAUCAAAUA
Gallus gallus (chicken) is the source of this 872-nucleotide long non-coding RNA. The record is from Ensembl. Lineage: Eukaryota; Metazoa; Chordata; Aves; Galliformes; Phasianidae.